UGGGAAAUGUAGUCCGGCCUCCCUCAGGCCUCCGCCCAGCCGAAUUUUUCAGCCUCCUCGGGCCCCAGAACCAAAGGCUAGGUGGCGUGGAUCCGUAACUGGCCCGUUUGGAAGACUUGGGAUUGUAGCUGUCCUGCGCACUAUCAGCUGCAGGCCCAGGUCACUGACGGUCGUAGAGCCGACGAACUCGGCCCAUCUUUGUGGUAACUGGCUUGCCGCAGAAGGCUCUGGGAAUUGUAGUUGGGCGGGGGCGGUCUCGCGCCCCGAGGUCCGAGUUGCAGCCGUUACCGCUCGCUACCGAGGUCAGAACGAGGCACAGCCGGCCGACUCGACCGUCAGUUGUAGAAGAUUUUCCAGCGUCUCGGGCGAGCUCCUCCGGCGUUAAUAUCGAUUUCUGAGCACCCAGGAAGAAAGUGUCAAAUAUAAAGAAGCUUAUGAAGAGUUUCUCUGAAACUUAACCUUCCCACAGCACAAGUGAGUCUCCUUGGGGACUUCUCCAGUCAAGAAUUUGACCACAGCAAUAAGGGGGAACUGUGUCCUUGUUCGCCCAGAUCCCUCAAAAACAGGGCAGGAUUCUGAUGGUGAAGGUGGAGGCAGAGGACCACUUGUAGGGGAAGGAGACCAUACUGCCAAGGAAUCUUUCAGCUGCGAGCUGGCCUGUCCACAAUUAAAACAGGAGGUUUGGGAUCCCAUGAGGGUCUGCGAUGCCUCUGGCGACUCUGCUGCCAGUGGCCGAGGCCUGUGAUGCACUCGAAGGAGCAGAUCCUGUUGCUGCUGGCACUGGAGCAGUUCCUUGCCAUCCUGCCCCAUGAGCCGCAAGACAGCCACCUGGGCAGUGGAGAGGAGGUGGAUCUUGUACUGGAAGAUUCAAGUGCAGGUUUCACAUUUCUGGCUGAGGUUCCCACUCCUGGAGCUCCUUAUCCACCUUCUUCUUGAACUUGAGAAGAAAGGACAUUUUCUGGGGAGAGAUGGCACCUCCACCACCAGCACAAGACUCCCCAUGCAUCAUCAACUUCAGCCAUUUGAACCCCAGUUCAAAUGUGGGUCUUGGGAGCAACACCGCUCCAAGCCAGUGAUGGAGACCUCAGGACUGAGGACAAGGAAUUCAGCUCACAUCAGGAACUUGCUGUAUAAAGGCCCCACGUACGACUCAGGCAGACUCCAAGGAAGCAGGCACCUGAGCUUGGAGAUGCCCCAGAAUGUUUCAGUACCUUAGUCCAGCAUCAGGGAACCUUCCAGAGGAGAUGCCAAGCAGCUUCCCUGCCCACGAGAAGAGUUUCAAGCAGGAGAGACUGAAGCUGUGAAGGUGACAAAUGUGACCAAACCUGCAAGCCAGACUUAAAGCUCUUUGAGGAAGAAUCACAUCUUGUCCUUUGUAUUCUCCAUGGCACCUCUGAACACCACCAAAGCUUCAGGACAGUUUGUGGACUGGCCACCGUAUACGGCUGUGGACACUGCAAUCGAACCCAGCGAAUUUGUAGUUCAGGGCAGUCAUGGAUGCAGGUGUGUUUACCUCUGAAGAUGGAGCCUGCCUUCUCUGUGAUGGUUGUUGGUCAUUCUCUCCAGAUCACACAGGAGGAAGAUGAUCUCAUCCUGAUUGGCACCUCUUGCGCCUCACAUCCGCCCCCCAGCCAGGCAGGCCAGCCCCAUUAGCCCUGACAUCCAUAACAUGGCAGAUGCUUCGUCCCCAUUGCCUCAACUCUGCCUGAGAGCUGUUGCUAGCCACCAUGCAUUGUGCUAAUCUCGGGAAUGAUCUUAGGGAAGGGGAGACAAGGAACAAGCAAGAAAUCAGUGUCGCAGCUGUCCAUCAGACAUUAAAUAUGGCUACAGGGACCAUUUUUAGCAUGAACUCGGAGCUCUUUGAGGGCAUCUCCAUAUUCACAGUACCUAGCUUAGCACCUGGCACAUAGUAGGUAUUCAUCUGGCACGGAGUAGAUAGAUGCUUCUGCAGUCACAAGCAACUGAGGAGUUCAUGGAGAUAACGAGAAUACCCGUUAAUUACUGUACCCACUCCCACUGGCCUGUGAGGGUACGUUGUCCCUUUAGUGCAUAGAGGAGGUCUGAGUCCCAAGCACAAAAUGCAGAAAAGGCCUCUUGCCUUUUGUUAGUUGCAAAAUUUUUAUCUCCCCUACAAAAAAAAAGGGGGUGACACGUUUUGUGUCUAUAUCCAGAGUUUUAUAGAGCCUUGGAGCUCUUCUACCUUUUUUUAACAGCCAGUCAGAAUGUUUUUGGUGGGAUAAGAUGCAGUAGUCCCUAGUGCUGGCACUGCGCAUCUGGCACUGCGCAUAAGAACUGCAUUUCCUAGGGACCCAAGGCUGCUGUCCAGUAGCCAAACCUUGAGCCUAGUGAAGAUAUGAGCCCGUCAUGGAACUUUAAGCAGGGAAAGAAAGGCGGAGGGUCUGGCCAGCUGCCUCUUCCUCUGCUUAGCAGAGGCUUACAAGCUCAUGAAGUUGUCUCUGGACAGGAGUACAGCUGUGACUGGGGUUUUGGCUGGAAUGUCAUUUACAGUGAGCAUCCAGAAUACCUCUGAUGACUAUCCCAAGACCAAAUUGAAUAAGAAAUUACAGAAACCAGAGAGGGGGUUGGUAUGGAUUUAAGUAAAGGCUAUUGGAGGAGGAAGGGAGUGGAGGCACAGGUGACUCUAAGUUCAGCACUCCUAGGGAGAUGGCUGAGGCUAUUCCAAAGGCUUCUAGGAAGUUGCUCAAGAAACUGGUCUAGAGAGAAAGCUGUAAAGUGCUUUAAGGUAUGUAAAAACACCCCAUUCCCCGCUACCCACCGUGGAGGACACCAGGAGAGCUCCCCAUCCAGAACAGCCAGGACAGCGUCUUUUGGUGGUCACUGGCAAGUUGACUCUCCUCAGUGGAGCUCAGACCCCACCCACAGAGUGCGUAAGACUCUAACAAUAGCAGCAGCUAAUAAUGUGCAUUUAGUGCCAGCUGUGCCAAGUGCUUCACAUGCAGUAUCUCAUUUAAUCCUCCCAACAACCCUGUGAAAUAGGAUGUUUCUAUCCUCAUGUUACAAAUGAAGAAAAUAAGACUUAGAGAGGUUAAAUAACUUGCCCAAGGUCAUGGAAUUAAUAAGCAGAGGAGCAAGGAUUCAAAUCCAGGUCUGCCCAUUACCCAUGCUUUUGAAAGUUCUAGUUUUCCCAUUGCAGAAUUUUUAAUUCCAUUUUCUGGAAUAACCAGUCCCCUUUCUGUCUUUCGUAUGGCCAUAUCGAAAUAGUCCUUCUUCCACAGUCCCUUCUUCAGCCUGUCAGAGCCACAGAAUGGUUUGUAAGAGAUCAAGUCCAGCAGGUGCUGACCACUUCCAAUCCCUGUUAAAGUCAUGUUCCUGAGAGACAUGCAGCUUUCUCCAAGCAGUCACUGGAAUUUCUGCUGUGGGAAUUCGGGGAGAUUCUUGAGUUAUGGCAGACUCAAGAAUCUGUGAUUAUGCUCUCAAUCCUGUAUGGUAUUCAGGUAGAACAAAGCAGGAACAAUUUAUUUCUGCUCCACUGUGUCUGGGCCUCAGCUGGAGUGGCCCAAAUGGCUGCUUUGGCUGCAGUGGUUGGACUGUGGCAUAGGUCAGGGGCCUUGGUUCUGUCAGCCAGCUGGAUUUCUUUCUUCUUCAUGUGGUAUCUUCUGAAAUGGGGCUAAAAUGUCCAAAAUGGCUUUUUCCACUCAUGCGUCUCAUGCCUUCGUCUUCUCUCAUGUGUCCUCUCUCUUGGUAGAGUAGCCUAAUCUUAUACUGUUGCUCUACUCCACCAUACCUGUCCUACGUCGCAAUCCCUUCUGUAGGGAACUGCCUCAUACAGCCCCCGCUGCGAGGUGGCUGUGUCGUAUCACACGACUUUGCUUCUUUGCCCCUCCCCAUGCACACAUACAGGUCACUGGACCAGGAUCCAUGUAUAGGCCUGCCAACAGCUUUCAAAGUCACCUGGCACAAAAAUAUAAGGAAAGCGAGUUGGACGGUCAGAGUCUCCUUUUGGGAAAUUUGAACCAAAAAAUCAGACAGUAUAGGCAGAGUGUGACAAGAUGUUAUGAGGGCAGGAAGGGCCUGGGUGGACCAUUGUGCUAGCCAGAACUAAAGUGAAGAAGAAACUUGGAGAUUGAAAAAAAAAAGAUAUGACACAGAGAAAAUGCACUUAUAGUAGAGGGAAAAAUGAGCCUGGUUUUGGCAAGAGGAUAAAGGAGGUAAUGACCAGAGCAGAGCUGGGACUCGUGAAAGGCAAAGAGAGGUGUCCUAGUGCCCCUGGGCUUACUAGGCCCAGGCUCACCUGUGAGUGUCAUUACAGCAGGCUAGCUGGUUACCUAUUUUCUUUGUUGUCAAUUGUUGGCUUAGAAAUGGGCAUGUGACUUGGUUCUGCCUAAACUUAUGAGAAAAUGGCUGGGGGAUCUUCUGGGAAGAAUUUUGCUUUUUGAUUCAAGGAGAGAUAGUGAAGAGCCAUGUAUCUUCUUCCUGCUUUGAACAUGGAUGUUUGAGGACAUGAUACUAAGAGCUAUAGCAGCCAUCUUGAGACCAUGAGGCAACAAGACCAAGGGGAAAAAGCCAACAUACCGAGGUUAGCCAAUCAGACAAAUAAAAAGAGCCUGGGUUCUUGAUGAUGUUGUUGAGCCACUAUACCUAUCCUGGAACCACCUUCUUCUAGUCUUUUUGAUAUUAGUUAAAUGUCUUUAUUUUCUAAGCAGAUUUCUGCUAUUUGAAGCUUUAGGCAUUUUUAACCAGGAUAGCACUCCUCUGAACCUCUCCAUAUACAGCUCCUUAGAGCCCCAUGGUUCUUGAUAAAGCUCCAACCCCAGUUUAGACAUUGGAAAUCUUACAUGGUAAGAAAUAAAAGUCAAGACUUCUCACAGCCUACAGAGCAAUUUCAGCACUUGGUCCCAAUUCCCAGGGCCUAUAGAACACAGACAAGGAAAAAUAAAUAGAUUCAGGAAAGUUCUAGAUGCAUAAGUAUGAGUCUUCUAAAAUGGGUCUCAAUGUUGAAUUUUAAGAAGACCAAGUUCAGCGGGAAGGGUGUGGGUGUGGAGAAGUGUUAAUGCCUGAGAUGCAGAGCCCAGGCAUGGACGAGAAAGCCAUGGAAAGCACACGGAAGGAACAGCAAACUGGUAUGGGCAGAUGGUGGGUGAACUGAAUGACUAGUGUCUACAGCAGUAUUUUAUGGGCUCCAAGUAGCCUAUGGCAGCUGGAACUAAACUGGUGGGAGGCUAGGUCUUGUAGUUACUCUCCAGCCAGAUUUAAUGACAUUUUAGAUCCUCUUAGGAGUAAGGUGCCCUGAAUUGUUGCCAUUCCCUGCAUAGCUGCAUUCCUCACGUUCUUCAUUCUUUGUUUUUUCUCCACUUCUCCCUUUUUUCUCUACCUUUCCUUCCUGUCUUCUUUAAGCACAGCCAGGAGCCAGAGAUGCACAAGACCCAAAUCUCUUCUACCUCAAUGGGAGAGUGAAUAUAGUGGGAGGCAACAAUAUCUUCUGGAAGACUUAGAAUCCUGGUCUGGGGAUAAGAAGUUAGGCUGGGAAGAGAGAAGGCAGUCAGUUGAUAAAGACUAGAUUAAGCUCUCUUCUGGUCCACCUUUUACCAAGCAGUAUGUUUUUUGUUUUUUCAACACAAGAAAAACUGCCCAGUCCUUCCCUUACCAAAUGAGAAGUUGAACUUGAACUCUAGCCCUUCCUCUUCAAACUUCUAGUUUUGGAUAUAAAACAGAUAAACUGGCAUCCUCCUCAUGUAUCCUACAAAUACAGAUUACUCCAUUUCAUUCAAAACUUGAGAAGUCACCCACCCAUUUCCCAUCCGAAAGUAAUAUUCAACAGUAUAGAAAUGUGGCCCGUAGAUGUUCAUAAAAUUAAUGGGGCCCAAACACGUGUUGCAGUGAUAAUAGAAUUUGCAACCACCAGAUUCUGUCACUGAGCCUUGCCCUUCUCGGUGCACCCUUAUGCACCCCAGAUAUCUUUUAUACAGCCCUGCCCCCGAAGGCCAAAACCAGGCCAACAACCCUGAUGUUUGUGUAUUAUAUUACUUCAUUUAUUCAGCAGAAAUAUACUGCGAACCUAGUAUAAUUAGAAGUUAGCCUUAUAAAAGCAAUGAUAAUAUUUGAAAGAUAAGUCAUUAAAGACAAAAAUAUCCUAUGAGAUAAUCAGAGAAAGGAAUGAAAGCUUUGGUUGGGGUGGAGGAAGCAAACGGUCAAAACCCCCACUUAAUGCAAUUAAUACUUUCAUGUGAUACUUAAUAAAGCCCAAAUUCUUCCCAAAAUUUCCCCAUGUAUCACUAAGGAUUCUCCAAAAUCCAAUACGGAAAAGAAUUAAAGGCUUUUCCUCAUUCUCCAUAAUCAAGGUUUUUCUCCAGUAUGAAUUUGCCUGAUUACUAAACACUCUCCCACAAUCUUUAUAACAUGAGAGAGUCUUUCCUGUGAAUUCUCCAAUGAUGAGAAAGGGCUACGCUGUCCCCAAAUGAUUUUCCACAUUGAUGAUGCUCACAGGCUUCUUUCUAGGAUGAAUGAUCUGAUGUUCAAUAUGCUCAGCGCCUCCCCUAGAUUUCCAUAUUCAUCACAUGUGACCAUUUUAAGUCCCAAGUGAAUUAGCUGACAUUGUCUAAGGAUGGAACUCUGAUUGAAGGUUCUUCCGCAUCCAUUAUGCUCUUAGGGCUCCUCUCUGCCAUGAAAUCCCAGAUGUCUCAUUAGCUCUGAACACUGUGUAAAAGCAUUUUUACAUUCAUUACGUGCAUAUGGCUUUUCUCCAGUGUGAAUUCUCUGACGUUGAAUGAGCUUUACUUUCCUAAAAGCAUUCACAUUUAUUGCGUUUGUAGAGUGUCUACUGCAUGUGAAUCAGCUAAUGCUGUGUGGUGCUGGGAUGCUGACAGAUGCCUCCCACAAACAGGGAUUCUCUCCAAGAUAGAUGUUAAGAUGUUCAGUAGAAUGGGAGCCAAGGAAAGUUGCCUGUAUUCAUAACAAAGAUGUUCUCUCCAAUCUGAAUACUGUAAUAAUGAAUAAAUUUUGAAUUCUAAGAUUUGGUAACACUUA
Pteropus alecto (black flying fox) is the source of this 6984-nucleotide RNA transcript. It is a transcript of the gene named zinc finger protein with KRAB and SCAN domains 3-like, with no coding region annotated. The transcript is spliced from 6 exons. The record is from RefSeq and is a predicted model, not a curated record. Lineage: Eukaryota; Metazoa; Chordata; Mammalia; Chiroptera; Pteropodidae.